This 240-nucleotide unclassified non-coding RNA is filed under the name soil metagenome. RNAcentral's name for it is "partial contains 5.8S ribosomal RNA, internal transcribed spacer 2, and large subunit ribosomal RNA". The record is from RNAcentral.
AACGGUCUAUACCUGCGGUACCUGCGGAAGGAUCAUUACAGGACUCGCAAGACUCCUACAACCCUGUGAACUUAACUAUAAGCACGUUGCUUCGGCGGGUGUCUCGGCGAGGGUUCUCCCUCCCCGGGGCGCUAAGCCCGCCGGCAGCCUACUAUACUCUGUCUCUUUGCGUUGGCAUCUCGAGUACAAACAAACAAGUUAAAACUUUUAGCAACGGAUCUCUAGAUCGGAAGAGCACAC